GCUAUGGCAACACAGAAGAUUGUAUUCAUGUAAUGGCGACAUUGUGGUUAAGAUGGUUGACGAGUGGUUACGAGAGUAAUUCCUUGUCUAGAACAAAGAUACAAGAUUAUACUCUUGGCUACUGCACAUGCACACUAACACUAGAAGAUUUGCACUCUCUUCAAAAGAUCUGCGCUCACCAAGAACGCAUUGGUAACCCUUUACAGACCUGUCCAACAAAUGCAAUAGAGUCUCACGAAGUGUCCAGCUGCGCUCUAUGUGAAAGCAUGCGCACUAGCCGACAACGCUUUCCCCCGACUUGUCUACUCAGUGUUAAAACUGUUCAAUAAACUUCUUAAGAUUUA
Molecule: long non-coding RNA, 344 nt
Organism: Actinia tenebrosa (Australian red waratah sea anemone)
Lineage: Eukaryota; Metazoa; Cnidaria; Anthozoa; Actiniaria; Actiniidae
Source: RefSeq, a predicted model, not a curated record